AUAAAAUUCUCAACCUAUUGGCUAAGACCAAGAGUAGUAUCUGUUCUUUUCACUUUAAUAUCUGAUACGUCCUUUAUCUGAGGACAUUUUUGUUGUGUUAUUUCUUUUCUUUUCUUUCUUCCUUCCCCCCCCCCCCAGACAGGAUUUCUCUGUGGCUUUGGAGCCUAUCCUGGAACUCGCUCUUGUAGACCAGGCUGGUCUCGAACUCACA
RNAcentral lists this small nuclear RNA (211 nucleotides) under Cricetulus griseus (Chinese hamster). Its description in RNAcentral is "U2 spliceosomal RNA (ENSCGRG00000023762.1)". The stretch from base 1 to 106 matches the Rfam family "U2 spliceosomal RNA". From Rfam's summary of the family: U2 is a small nuclear RNA (snRNA) component of the spliceosome (involved in pre-mRNA splicing). Complementary binding between U2 snRNA (in an area lying towards the 5' end but 3' to hairpin I) and the branchpoint sequence (BPS) of the intron results the bulging out of an unpaired adenosine, on the BPS, which initiates a nucleophilic attack at the intronic 5' splice site, thus starting the first of two transesterification reactions that mediate splicing. The record is from RNAcentral. Lineage: Eukaryota; Metazoa; Chordata; Mammalia; Rodentia; Cricetidae.